Molecule: non-coding RNA, 225 nt
Organism: Pelobates cultripes (western spadefoot toad)
Lineage: Eukaryota; Metazoa; Chordata; Amphibia; Anura; Pelobatidae
Source: the annotation of a GenBank genome assembly
CUCUCACUGUGAAAAUCACAGUGAGAAGCACGCAAGCGCCUCUAGUGGCUGUCAAUGAGACAGCCACUAGAGGAAAUAGGGGAAGGCUUAACCCAUUGAUAAACAUAGCAGUUUCUCUGAAACUGCUAUGUUUGUGAAAAAAUGGGUUAACCCUAGCUGGACCUGGCACCCAGACCACUUCAUUAAGCUGAAGUGGUCUGGGUGCCUAGAGUGGUCCUUUAAGGU